UCCCGAUUAGCUCGGUUGGCAGAGUGCUCCACUGAAAAUGGAGAGGUCCCUGGUUCGAUACCAGGACCAGGCG
Molecule: non-coding RNA, 73 nt
Organism: Ixodes scapularis (black-legged tick)
Lineage: Eukaryota; Metazoa; Arthropoda; Arachnida; Ixodida; Ixodidae
Source: Rfam